CUGUUUCUCUCUAAUAUCUCCUGAUAAAACGGAAACUCACAAAGCCUUAGUGAGAGAAGAAGAAGAAAAAGCAACAGACACAGAUUCUUUACAUGAGCCUAUACAAACUGAACCACUUCACAUUUAACACACGUCCUCUUUCUCUCUCUCUCUCUCUCUCUCUCUUCUGCUUUUUCUCUUUCUCUCUCUCUCUCUGCUUUUUUCCCUCUCUGUCAUAUCUUAUUUUGUCAUUUAUUAAAUCAAAAGUUACAGGUUUCUUGCUUUCUCUUCCAUCUCUCUCUAAAGCUUCUCUCUUUCUUUCAACUCCCACAUAGCUCUUGAAGUUUUAUCAAGAAAAACUGCAGCUUUAGCUACACUUCAGGUUUUGGAAUUUUUCUUGAGGAAAGUCUCGAUUGCAGUAUCCACCCAUUUGAUCUGGGUUAUCUGUGUCUACUGAGAUGGUGGAGGAAUAAACAAAUUUGGGAUGUGAAGGAUCGCUUAUCGGAGCCCAUGAUAAGGUCUUGCAAUGGGGUCUCUAAACAUGGAGAAGAAAUGGGUUUUCCCUCUAGUGAUAAGCUCUCUGAUAUGUGUGUUCCUUUUAGCAACUUCCUUCAACAUGGGUCUUAUCUCUUCAUUACAUACUAUCAAACAAAUCUUCAACAUUUUUCCAUCUCGAAACCAAUCAAUGGAAGGCUAUGCUGAAAUGAAGGUUUCACAAACUCCUCCCUCUGAGACUCCUGGAAUUCCUCGAUUUGCUUAUUUGAUUUCUGGGUCUAAAGGUGAUUUGGAAAAGCUCUGGAGAACUCUUCACGCACUUUAUCAUCCGCGGAAUCAAUAUGUAGUUCAUUUGGACCUUGAGUCUCCAGCAGAGGAAAGAUUGGAGCUUUCUUCGCGAGUGGAAAAACAUCCCCUUUUCUCCAAGGUUGGGAAUGUUUACAUGAUCACCAAAGCUAAUAUGGUUACAUAUAGAGGACCCACCAUGGUUGCUAAUACACUUCAUGCUUGUGCGAUUCUUCUCAAGAGGAGUAAAGAUUGGGAUUGGUUUAUCAAUCUCAGUGCUUCUGAUUAUCCUCUUAUAACUCAAGAUGAUCUUCUUGAUACAUUUUCAACCAUAAACCGAAAUCUGAACUUUAUUGAGCACACAAGUCAGUUGGGUUGGAAGGAGGAAAAACGCGCAAUGCCUUUGGUUAUCGACCCUGGGCUCUACUCAACAACGAAGACAGAUAUAUACUUGGCCACACCACGCAGAGGUUUGCCAACAGCAUUCAAAUUAUUCACUGGUUCAGCAUGGAUGGUUCUUACUCGUUCAUUUGUAGAGUACUUAAUCUGGGGUUGGGAUAAUCUACCAAGAAUUUUACUCAUGUAUUACACAAACUUCGUCUCGUCUCCUGAAGGCUAUUUUCACACUGUAAUAUGCAAUGUGCCAGAGUUUGCUCAGACAGCCGUAAAUCAUGAUUUGCACUACAUUUCUUGGGACAUACCUCCCAAGCAGCAUCCGCACACCCUUUCCCUUAAUGACACGAAGAAAAUGAUUGACAGUGGUGCUGCCUUUGCUAGAAAAUUCAAACGAGACGACCCUGUCUUGGAUAAAAUUGAUAAGGAUUUACUUGGCCGGAAGGAUGGAGGCUUCACUCCCGGUGGGUGGUGCUCUGGUAGUCCCAAAUGUUCCAAGGUUGGUGACCCGAAUAAUAUUAAACCGGGUCCAGGAGCUGACAGAAUUAAACGUCUCAUAGCUAGUGUAGCUUUGUUGUCAAAGCUUGAACAAAAUCAAUGUAAAUAGAUUUUCCCCAAAUUUUCUUGGUUGCAGUUGGAGAAGGACUCAAAAGUUGCCCGCAAGCUGACCACCUUAUCGGAAGAUUCUUAUCUAAGAAAAGGAUUUCGAUAGCAGAGUUGCUGCCACAGUUUCAUUCUUGUCAAGAACUGAAGGGUCAUUACAAUUAUAAGAAAUCCCACUCUUGUUGCAGUGGUCACAAUCUAGUAUAGCACAUUUGCCUCUGAUUUUUUAUGAAUGUGCAAAUCUUCUGAUAAUAACUCAACGACAGGAUUAAUGCAAAUGGAAUCUGCUUUAUUUUGUUCUCUUCACAACAUUUGCAGAUGGAAUUUUGGAUACCCAAAAAGAUUAGUAUGAAUCUCACUGUUGAUAAUAAAAAUAAAUUGAUCAUUAAAAAAAAAAAUUGCUCGAGUAUUCUUAAUAUGCAUAUUUUUAUUAUUUUAAAAUUAAUAAUUUUGAUCUUUUUGUUUUCUUUAAAUUUUAGAUUCUUAUUAUACUUUGCCGCCUCAAAAUUUUAUACUUUUGCUUAUGGCGGUGUAGAUCUACUUCGACAAAUUCAAUUAUUAGUUUUAAUCUCUUAAUUUUUAUUUAUAAUAUUUUAUUUCUUUAAUGAGAUUUUUAUAAUAUAAAGGGAAAUGACAAGAAGGAAAAAGAAUAUAAAU
This is an RNA transcript of Hevea brasiliensis (rubber tree), 2412 nucleotides long. It is a transcript of the gene named beta-glucuronosyltransferase GlcAT14B, with no coding region annotated. Lineage: Eukaryota; Viridiplantae; Streptophyta; Magnoliopsida; Malpighiales; Euphorbiaceae. The record is from RefSeq and is a predicted model, not a curated record. The transcript is spliced from 6 exons.